Molecule: unclassified non-coding RNA, 147 nt
Filed under: soil metagenome
Description: partial internal transcribed spacer 1
Source: RNAcentral
CCAAGUUUACAACUCCCAAACCCCUGUGAACAUACCACUUGUUGCCUCGGCGGAUCAGCCCGCUCCCGGUAAAACGGGACGGCCCGCCAGAGGACCCCUAAACUCUGUUUCUAUAUGUAACUUCUGAGUAAAACCAUAAAUAAAUCA